RNAcentral lists this ribosomal RNA (503 nucleotides) under uncultured bacterium. Its description in RNAcentral is "bacterial SSU rRNA". It matches the Rfam family "Bacterial small subunit ribosomal RNA", at positions 774 to 1277 of the family's 1533-position model. The record is from RNAcentral.
AGUGAAUAGAUACCCUGGUAGUCCACGCUGUAAACGAUGAGUGCUAGGUGUUGGGUAGCGAUACUCAGUGCCGAAAGUAAACACAAUAAGCACUCCGCCUGGGGAGUACGGUCGCAAGACUGAAACUCAAAGGAAUUGACGGGGACCCGCACAAGCAGCGGAGCAUGUGGUUUAAUUCGAAGCAACGCGAAGAACCUUACCAAGGCUUAACAUCCCCUUGACCGGCACAGAGAUGUGCCCUCUCCUUCGGGAGCAAGGGUGACAGGUGGUGCAUGGUUGUCGUCAGCUCGUGUCGUGAGAUGUUGGGUUAAGUCCCGCAACGAGCGCAACCCUUAUCCUUAGUUGCCAGCAUUUAGGUGGGCACUCUAAGGAGACUGCCGAUGAUAAAUCGGAGGAAGGUGGGGAUGACGUCAAAUCAUCAUGCCCCUUAUGUCUUGGGCUACACACGUGCUGCAAUGGUCGGUACAAAGGGCAGCGGAGGAGUGAUCUGGAGCAAAUCCCAA